This 301-nucleotide ribosomal RNA is filed under the name uncultured bacterium. RNAcentral's name for it is "partial 16S ribosomal RNA". It matches the Rfam family "Bacterial small subunit ribosomal RNA", at positions 509 to 808 of the family's 1533-position model. The record is from RNAcentral.
CAGCAGCCGCGGUAAUACAGAGGGUGCGAGCGUUAAUCGGAUUUACUGGGCGUAAAGCGUGCGUAGGCGGCUUCUUAAGUCGGAUGUGAAAUCCCUGAGCUUAACUUAGGAAUUGCAUUCGAUACUGGGAAGCUAGAGUAUGGGAGAGGAUGGUAGAAUUCCAGGUGUAGCGGUGAAAUGCGUAGAGAUCUGGAGGAAUACCGAUGGCGAAGGCAGCCAUCUGGCCUAAUACUGACGCUGAGGUACGAAAGCAUGGGGAGCAAACAGGAUUAGAUACCCCCGUAGUCCUGUCUCUUAUACC